Molecule: long non-coding RNA, 2397 nt
Organism: Passer domesticus (house sparrow)
Lineage: Eukaryota; Metazoa; Chordata; Aves; Passeriformes; Passeridae
Exons: 4
Source: RefSeq, a predicted model, not a curated record
GGUAUUGUGAGUCAUUUUAAAUCAUCCUUAAAUAGGAGAGGAAAUAAACCACAGAUUUUUCUUUUUUUGUCUCGCCUUUUGUGUAGUAAACAGCAGAGCAAAUGUUCUUCUAACCUAAAUGGGAAUGUAAAAGGAGUGCUGUAUCAUAGCAACAGCCAGAGGGCUGCAUUCACAGAAAAAUGUGCUGUUACAAAAUGUGCCUUGCAAAGACACUGCUGGCCAGGGAAUUCACUCUGUAGCACCAUGGGAGGAGAGCACCAUGUACACCAGGAGAGGAAGAAAUCCUUGAAGUCAGAACUCUCUCUGGCACUAAAAACUAGUGCAGAGUACAACAGGCAACAAUUUCCCUGAGCUGGUUUCUGGACAUACCUGAAGGUGUUACCCCUCCUUGGAAACAGCUUCUCUGCACUGUAACAUUACUUCUUUUGGAAAAAUAGGGGCAACUACAGAGGAAAUAAACACAAACAGCCAGUGUGUUCUAUGUUUAUUUUCUAUUUAUUAUUUUGUUGUGGGCAAAAUGUUUGGGAGGAUAAACUCAUCAUCAUAUUUUUGCUCUGUUAAAUUGGCCGAUUCUUGGUGCUGUUCACAACAGCCUCAACAGAUUCCAGGGAGACGAAAGGGCUGGUGGGCUACAUUCUGCCUUUUUUCCACAUGGGAAUUUGGGAAUGAGGUGGGGUUUUAUAGCUGAUGACCUCACCUAUAUACCAGCAGAAUGAUCAUAUGUGUUGUUUAACCAAGGGCCAUUAGCUAUUGCUUGGGAAUGUUUUAAAUAUUAAUAUCCUGGACACCAUUGCUGUGUGGGUUUUCUUGAAACUCACCUUUCUACAUGAAGAAUAAUAUAUAAAGGAGUCAAAUUAAAUAAUUUGGCUAUGCUACAGCUAAACAGUGUGUGUUGUACAAGGGAAGCCCCCUGUAUUGUUAUGUACUUUGACGAUUGCAUUUCCUUUUAAUCUGUUCUCUUAAAACUCCUACAAUCACUACACCAAUUUGGUUUCAGGGUCACAGCUCAGUCCUAUAGGUCAAAAGAGAGAGUCCAAGGAAUGAUGAUUUAUAAAGCUGCAAAUUCAUUUGAAUGUUUACCAAAAGAUACUUUGUAGUCUUUGCCCUUGCUGUUUUCCUGCUUCAGAUUCUGUUUUAGGGUACAAUCCAACCUGAAUGCAUUAACGUCAGACUAUUUUUUCCCACUUUUCUCACCUUUUCAAAUUUUGAGCAGACUCCACUCCAGAAAUGAGCAGCCCAACAGUAUAUCUUACUAAUAUCAGAAAAGGCAAUGCCUGAAGCGGUUGCAAAGAUCGAUGAGGGAGCUUUGGAGAGAUGACUGACAUAAACAUUUCAGCUAUGGAAAGGAAUGAAGCUAUUGAAGCAGGAAAAAAAUCAGACUAAGGAACCAGAGACCUCUAAAACAAAAAGUUUGGCUCCAUUUCUAUUGAAGAUACAUUAAAAUAAUCACGAUUUUUCUGUAGGCUACAAAGAAGGCUUAGGUUUCAGUUUGUUACUUUGUUAAUAAAAGUCACUUCUCCACCUAUAAAUAAUCAAAUGUUUUAAGAAAGGUGAAAUAUUUUGCAAUAUUUUGGUGCUCUCUUGAGGCAUUCUCACAUCCUCUAUGUGUAGACUGAUUUUCCCCUCCUUUAUUCUACCCAUCACCUGAUACUUUUAUCCAUUGGAUGGAUUAGAGAUUAUGUUGCUGUGAUGGUUAAUCACUUGUGAAGGAUAAAAAUAUCACAGUGGAGCUGGAUGAGUUAAAUUUAACGGGUGUGUAGCUGACAGGCAUGUACAGGAUAAGCACUUUUAUUACGUACUUCUCAGCGCCACUCAGUUCACAGUGUGCUCCACAAACAUUGGCAAGGAAAUAUGUCAUGUGCCAGGGAAUGAGUAAGAGAUUUGUGUGAAAUAUGGAUGCCAAGAAUGUCUAAUUAUAGCUCAUGAAAGACCAAACAAUAACCAAUAACAAAACCCAACAGAAUAAUUCCCUCAAACCAAAGGUGGAUUAAUGAUUUUUGCAGACAACUGACAAUACUAAUAGUCACCGAAAUUCCUACGUGGUCAAGAAUCCAUGGGUAAAGAAGUGGCCUAGAUCUGUGGAAAAGAGGUUCUUGUCAUGACAGAAUGCAGGAUGAAAUCAUCUUUCCUUGUCCAAAAGGCACUCCAGCAUCUUAAAUAGAAAACUAUGUGUUAAGCUAUGUUGGAAUCAGGGAAGGAGCAGCUUUUUCCCAACUAGAAAAAAUCAAUCUGACUUGUACUUCCAACAUUCAAAAUAAGGCAGCAGAUGGAGUUGCUAGGAGACAGAAGGCAAAGAACAAGAGCAUGAAUGUGCUCUAGUGUCUCUACACAAUAGCAAAGAGUAUAUGAAAUGAGCUGGAGCUUUAGAUCUCACCAUCAGCUAUGACUGUUACAAGU